Non-coding RNA from Mycena haematopus, 85 nucleotides. NCBI's taxonomy places the organism in Eukaryota, Fungi, Basidiomycota, Agaricomycetes, Agaricales, Mycenaceae. The record is from the annotation of a GenBank genome assembly.
UCUUGACUAGUAUAUCGGUUCAGUACACCCGCUUGUCAUCCGAUGUCGAGCGCGGGAGAGCUGGGUUCGACUCCCAGGUCGAGAG